RNAcentral lists this ribosomal RNA (351 nucleotides) under Escherichia coli. RNAcentral's name for it is "partial 16S ribosomal RNA". It matches the Rfam family "Bacterial small subunit ribosomal RNA", at positions 1 to 348 of the family's 1533-position model. Lineage: Bacteria; Pseudomonadati; Pseudomonadota; Gammaproteobacteria; Enterobacterales; Enterobacteriaceae. RNAcentral also lists the same sequence under 1 other name. The record is from RNAcentral.
AAAUUGAAGAGUUUGAUCAUGGCUCAGAUUGAACGCUGGCGGCAGGCCUAACACAUGCAAGUCGAACGGUAACAGGAAGCAGCUUGCUGCUUCGCUGACGAGUGGCGGACGGGUGAGUAAUGUCUGGGAAACUGCCUGAUGGAGGGGGAUAACUACUGGAAACGGUAGCUAAUACCGCAUAAUGUCGCAAGACCAAAGAGGGGGACCUUCGGGCCUCUUGCCAUCGGAUGUGCCCAGAUGGGAUUAGCUUGUUGGUGGGGUAACGGCUCACCAAGGCGACGAUCCCUAGCUGGUCUGAGAGGAUGACCAGCCACACUGGAACUGAGACACGGUCCAGACUCCUACGGGAGG